GACGAACGCUGGAGGCGUGCUUAACACAUGCAAGUCGAACGAUGAAAUGGAGCUUGCUCCAUGGAUUAGUGGCGAACGGGUGAGUAACACGUGAAUAACCUGCCCUUAAUUUUGGAAUAACCCAGGGAAACCUGGGCUAAUACCGGAUAAGUAAACCUGUGGCAUCACAUGGUUUUGGAAAGUUUUUCGAUUAAGGAUGGAUUCGCGGCCUAUUAGCUUGUUGGUGAGGUAAUGGCUCACCAAGGCGACGACGGGUAGCCGGCCUGAGAGGGUGAACGGCCACACUGGGACUGAGACACGGCCCAGACUCCUACGGGAGGCAGCAGUGGGGAAUAUUGCGCAAUGGACGAAAGUCUGACGCAGCGACGCCUCGUGAGGGACGAAGGUCUUCGGAUUGUAAACCUCUUUCAGCAGGGACGAAGCGAAAGUGACGGUACCUGCAGAAGAAGCACCGGCUAACUAUGUGUCAGCCGCCGCAGUAA
This 482-nucleotide ribosomal RNA is filed under the name uncultured bacterium. RNAcentral describes it as "partial 16S ribosomal RNA". It matches the Rfam family "Bacterial small subunit ribosomal RNA", at positions 28 to 523 of the family's 1533-position model. The record is from RNAcentral.